This 457-nucleotide long non-coding RNA is filed under the name Brachypodium distachyon (stiff brome). Its description in RNAcentral is "long non-coding RNA (BDIS_LNC005690)". The record is from RNAcentral. Lineage: Eukaryota; Viridiplantae; Streptophyta; Magnoliopsida; Poales; Poaceae.
GGGCUAGCUGGUGGACUCGGCAUCCAUAUGACCUGGUGCCUGGGGAAUUGCCUUCUCAUGGAGAGAUCAUCGACCGAUCUUGUAGCAGUCAUCCUCUGUUCCCGCCAUGUGUGAUGCAUCACGCUCAAUCCACAUUAAUUACCACGAAAGAUUCUCCGAUCGACAUCCCCAUCCCAUCAUGUUUUUUUUUUCGGGUGUCAUCCCAUCAUGUGUUGUGGUGGUGCAACUUUGAUUCCCUGAAGACUAAUCUUUGGCACAUCGUGGCGAAAGGUUUUAACACUUUGUCUUCUUCACCAGGCAGCAGCGGAGACGCCGGAGAGCACGUUUUGUCAGUGCCCUUUCCAUCUCUUCCUUUCGGGUCGGGUGUGCACGUGGUUGAUGAAUCGCUGGGAUAGAUUUCUCUUGUUUGUUUAUGAUGAUCUGUUGACGAGGACAGAGGAAGAGAAGAUGGGUCGUG